ACCGUCUCUCAUGAAAAAACGCCCCUAGUAUCUUCCUCUAUAAAAACUCAUCUCCUUCCAAAUCAUUCUCCCAAACCAAAUUCCAUAAAUCCCAGAAAAACCCUAAUCCCAGUUUUGAAAUCCCAUUGCAAAGUUCUCAUUUAGUAUGCCCGUAACACGAGGCGUUACAUCCAUGUCAUCAUACAAGGAAAGUUUAGUUGGGCAAGUGCUGGACAACCAAGGUCCGUUGUGAAGAGGAGCCGAUUGAAGCGAUAGAGACUGCAACUGGGGCGAAGAAGAAUAGCUUGUGCUUCAUUGAGGUGAUAGCCCACAAGGACCAGAAAAGUGUUGCUUGAGUGGGGGUCUAGGGUGUCUGCUGCCAACAGCCGCUCGCCCAACCCUCAGUAAAGUCUUCCAUCUCAUUUCCCUUCAUCAACGCUGGGUCAUUCGAUCUGGAGGAAAAAAAAAAUUUGUAUUUGUUCCUUCUUGUGAAGGGUUUCUUAUGUUUUGUUUUUAAUAUUUUUCCAUGAAAACUGAUUUCUCAAGUACAUUCCCCUUUGAACUACGAGUAUCUACUCAUAUUUUAAUUAGUUUAUGAUCUAGUUUGCGUAUUACAUAUUAAUGGAAAAACUUGCAUUUCAAGU
Molecule: long non-coding RNA, 623 nt
Organism: Malus domestica (apple)
Lineage: Eukaryota; Viridiplantae; Streptophyta; Magnoliopsida; Rosales; Rosaceae
Source: RefSeq, a predicted model, not a curated record